Molecule: small RNA, 141 nt
Filed under: Streptomyces hygroscopicus
Lineage: Bacteria; Bacillati; Actinomycetota; Actinomycetes; Kitasatosporales; Streptomycetaceae
Description: c-di-AMP sequence
Rfam family: c-di-AMP riboswitch aptamer (ydaO/yuaA leader)
About the family: This family represents a conserved RNA structure found upstream of the ydaO and yuaA genes in Bacillus subtilis and related genes in other bacteria. The ydaO/yuaA element is thought to act as a genetic "off" switch for the ydaO and yuaA genes in its native state.
Source: RNAcentral
CCACCAUCAGCACCAGGCACUACCAGCACCAGGGAACCGGGGAACCACCACCUUGGGGUGAAUCGGGUCGAACCUGACCCGUAGGAGACCUUCCUGCUCCGAACCCGUCAGCUAACCCGGUAGGCGAGAAGGAAGGAAAGG